Long non-coding RNA from Saccostrea echinata, 563 nucleotides. RefSeq lists it as uncharacterized. NCBI's taxonomy places the organism in Eukaryota, Metazoa, Mollusca, Bivalvia, Ostreida, Ostreidae. The transcript is spliced from 3 exons. The record is from RefSeq and is a predicted model, not a curated record.
CAAGAAGACUACUAUUCAGUCAAGUAUUGCUGAAUUAGAGGUCAAGAAAGAAGUGUCUUCAAGUCAUUUAAAUUCCUUUAUUCCAGUUCUUCUGUGUGUUAGUGGAUUCUUAUUUUUCCUUUUAUUUAUUUUCCUGUUUAUUGUUUUUGUCCAGAGACGGAAGAUUAAAAGGCUUCAAGAAGAUCCUUCAUUAACUUAUUUGCAUAACAGUCGAAGGUACAGCACAAUUCUACAAAUGGAACAUCGACCUAUUGAAGGCAUUCAUAUCUACGAUCAUGCAGAUCGUAUCCUUCCUAACAGAAAAGAAAAUGAUUACAAAUACCUUUCCCCAGAAUCAUGCCCAAAGCAUAAAAAAUCACAGAAAAUAAGAAAACUUCAAGACAGGGCUAGCAAACAUUACUUUUGCCCCGCGGAGAUAGCAGAAAUAAAGGAGCAAUCAAAUUACAUUGAAAUCUUACCAGACGCCGGUACUGUGUACUAUGAACCUGCAUCAUCAUUUGAAUCGGCCGCAAUUUAUGCACAAACCACUAAACGAAGACCGUACUCAACAAUAAAUGAAGUAC